Molecule: long non-coding RNA, 763 nt
Filed under: Monodelphis domestica (gray short-tailed opossum)
Lineage: Eukaryota; Metazoa; Chordata; Mammalia; Didelphimorphia; Didelphidae
Description: lncRNA (ENSMODG00000047793.1)
Source: RNAcentral
UCUCCCUGCAGUCAUUUAUAACUGUGAAAAAAGAAAAUGUCUUCUUCUUUAGUGAAUGUUUGCUCCUUAAGAGUACAAAUUGACUCAACUUGUUUGCCUUUGCCCUGAUGGAGAAACAUGAUGAGCUCCCAUUGCCUUUCUCACCAGCAGCCUGGAGGUUGUUUUGGUCGGAUUUAUAUGGACACAGGUGGUGCCCUGAGGUUCCGUGCCUUUAUGAAGAACACCUGCUCCAAUUUCUUUUGCUCUCAUUAUCGCUGGGAGAGCCUUAUCCAGUCAAUAGAUAUCUUCUUGGAGGAACUGAAACAUCUUCAUCUUGAAUGAAAUCAGUAGAAAAAAACAUUUCUUAUCCCCACCCACUACACCCUUCCCCCACAUUGAAUCUUCCCAUGUGACAAAGAAAGUUGAAGAUAUUGAAGAAGGAUUAAAUCAGGAUUCUAAAGAACAUUGACAUCUAAACUUUAUUUGGCUGUGGAGGUAUGUAUGGGUGAUGGUUCAUCUUUACCAAAUCUAUAGACUGAAAGGAAGAGAGAACUCCAUCAGUUUAUGUCUCAGUCCUUGCCACUGAGACAUGGACAGAACCAUUCUGCAAUUGAAGGCACAUGGAGAUUGCCCAUAUACCCUUUGGAAUAAUAAUUUGAUCUUUGGUAAGGAAGGAGGGAACAGCUGUGAUCUGCCAACUUUGCACAUUAUUCCUAAUAGCCUUGUAUUAAGGGCUUCCAAUUUGAAGCCAGUAAUAUCCAUUGAGAAUAUUAUCCAACACUGG